CGCGGGAUAGAGCAGUUCGGUAGCUCGUCGGGCUCAUAACCCGAAGGUCGUCAGUUCAAAUCUGGCUCCCGCAACCA
This 77-nucleotide transfer RNA is filed under the name Sulfurovum sp. PC08-66. RNAcentral's name for it is "tRNA-Met". It matches the Rfam family "tRNA". Rfam says of the family: Transfer RNA (tRNA) molecules are approximately 80 nucleotides in length. Lineage: Bacteria; Pseudomonadati; Campylobacterota; Epsilonproteobacteria; Campylobacterales; Sulfurovaceae. RNAcentral also lists the same sequence under 1 other name. The record is from RNAcentral.